RNAcentral lists this long non-coding RNA (1329 nucleotides) under Octopus vulgaris (common octopus). The record is from RNAcentral. Lineage: Eukaryota; Metazoa; Mollusca; Cephalopoda; Octopoda; Octopodidae.
UUAGAGGUUCAGCAAAACAGACCAAUAGAAUAAGUACUAGGCUUCCAAAGAAUAAGUCCUGGGGUUGAUUUGCUCAACUAAAAGGCAGUGCUCCAGCAUGGCUGCAGUCACAUGACCAAAACAAGUAAAAGAGUAACAAGCAAAGUAUUCUCUCCCCUAGCAACCAAUUAUUAAUCCUAGCAACCAAUACAUUGUGAACCUAUAUGAGGUUGCUUGACAUGCUAGAAAUAGCAACUGAAUUUCCUCAAAACCCCUAUUAUCUGAAAGAAAGUCAAGACACACUACACAAUGUAGUCAGUUCCUUGUGUAGAAAAAGGUGAGGUGGUCAUGGUUGGAGCAUCUAUGAUCAUAGGACUAGCAUGGCACUAAACAACAGCAUCAACAUCCUUCAGUAAUGUACAAUUUGCUUCAGUUGAACCAGUUAGACUUUUCCAAUCUAUCUGAGGUGAUGGGUUCCAUUUGGAUUGUCUUGUUAAGGACAGCAAAAAGGUUGCCAUGGGGAACAUGAUUAAAUAUCUUUUAAUUCUAGUUUCAUUCUUUCUAAUCCCAAAAUAUAAUAUGCACACACACAAACAUACAUAUACGAAUAUACAUACUUAGGCAACUGGUCAUGGCAGGAACACCUUUGAUUAGAUGUCUGUUGAAUCAGGGCUGACCUGGGGCUAAACAAUAACAAGAACCCUAGGCCCCCCGCACUAUGCCCUAUCCUCAACAAUCAAAUACACGAUGGGCAUGGAUGGGAUCUCUAUGACUGUAGGUCUGUCCUUCAGAACCUAUUUCUUUAUUGCCCACAAGGGGCUAAACACAAGGGGCUAACGUUUCUGCCAGCUCACCGCCUUCUGUCUUUCAGAAUCCUACCUUCGGCUAAACAGCCAUUGUACACACACACACACACACACACACACACACACACAUACACACAUACACACACACACAGGGCUUGUUUAUUCAGUUAGAUAAGAGAGAAUAUAUUUCUACUACAAAUGCUGCUGCUGCUGCUGCUGCUGCUGCUGCUGCUGCCAGACUCUAUGCUUCUAGAAUACAUUUACCAUUUACUUUACAUGCAAAGUGCAUUAUGUGCAUAUGAAUGUAGGCCUGUGGAUUUAUACACAUACAUGUGUGUAUGUGUAUAUAUGUCAUUUGAGUGCAGCCAUGCUGGAGCACCACCUUUAGUCGAAGAAAUCGACCCCAGGACUUAUUCUUUGUAAGCCUUGUGCUUGUUCUAUCAGUCUCUUUUGCCAAACCACUAAGUUAUGGGGAUGUAAAUACACGGACAUCAGUUGUCAAGCGAUGGUGGGGGGACAAACACAGACACACAAACACACGAGC